CCUACGGGAGGCAGCAGUAGGGAAUCUUCCACAAUGGGCGAAAGCCUGAUGGAGCAACGCCGCGUGGGUGAAGAAGGUCUUCGGAUCGUAAAACCCUGUUGUUAGAGAAGAAAGUGCGUGAGAGUAACUGUUCACGUUUCGACGGUAUCUAACCAGAAAGCCACGGCUAACUACGUGCCAGCAGCCGCGGUAAUACGUAGGUGGCAAGCGUUAUCCGGAUUUAUUGGGCGUAAAGGGAACGCAGGCGGGCUUUUAAGUCUGAUGUGAAAGCCUUGGGCUUAACCGGAGUAGUGCAUUGGAAACUGUGGAACUGGAGUGCAGGAGAGGAGAGUGGAAUUCCAUGUGUAGCGGUGAAAUGCGUAGAUAUAUGGAAGAACACCAGUGGCGAAGGCGGCUCUCUGGUCUGUAACUGACGUUGAGGUUCGAAAGCGUGGGUAGCAAACAGGAUUAGAUACCCGAGUAGUC
Molecule: ribosomal RNA, 465 nt
Filed under: uncultured bacterium
Lineage: Bacteria
Description: partial 16S ribosomal RNA
Rfam family: Bacterial small subunit ribosomal RNA
Source: RNAcentral